CCCAUACGUAUUAGGAAGAGACUGUAUGAUCAGAUCCACUUGCAGUUCUUUGUCCAUAUUCAUUUUGAGCUUCUGAAGCUCUUCAAUAUCCUUGAUCAUUAUCAGACAAUAAUCAUGCAUGGACUACCCAUCACGCAUUUUUGCUUUGAAAAGUCUAUAGGAGACUACAAAGUGAGCCAUGUGACUCUACUCACCAUACGACUCUGCUCACCAUAUAACUCUUGCAGGUGAGU
Molecule: long non-coding RNA, 233 nt
Filed under: Elaeis guineensis (African oil palm)
Lineage: Eukaryota; Viridiplantae; Streptophyta; Magnoliopsida; Arecales; Arecaceae
Description: long non-coding RNA (EGUI_LNC066914)
Source: RNAcentral